Molecule: long non-coding RNA, 226 nt
Filed under: Trifolium pratense (red clover)
Lineage: Eukaryota; Viridiplantae; Streptophyta; Magnoliopsida; Fabales; Fabaceae
Description: long non-coding RNA (TPRA_LNC004475)
Source: RNAcentral
UAGUGUGGUGCUUGCUCUAGGAGCGGUUCUUGACCCAAGGAUAAAGCUUUCUACUUUGGAAUUUUGUUACUCAAAAGUUGAUCCACUUACUUCUAAAUGUAAAAUGGAAGAAGUUGUACGGUCUCUUUGAGAAUUAUUCUUCCAUUCCUAAUUCAUCUACCACAACUUCCACAAGCAUUACAUCUUCCGCUACUUUGUCUACCCACAAAUUGACUUCCAGCUUGUU